AUGAGCUGUGGGCUCCAAUGCUGGGUGGUCCUUUGCCUCCUGGGGACAGGCUCCAUGGACACAGGGAUUACCCAGACACCAAAGUUCCUGGUCACAAGCAUGGGGAACAAGAGGUCUUUGAGGUGUGAACAGAGUCUGGGACACAAUGCCAUGUACUGGUAUAAACAGGUCCCGGAGAGGCCUCCAGAGCUCAUGUUUCUGUACAGCUACAAGGAGCUCUCUGCAAAUGAGACUGUCCCGAGUCGUUUCUCCCCAGAGAACCCCGAUAGCUCCCACCUGAACCUCCACAUGGACGCCCUGGAGCCUGGUGACUCGGCUGUGUACCUCUGUGCCAGCAGCAAAGACACAGCCCUGCAGAGCCACCUCCCACCCGUGCACAAAUCCACAUGGUCCCUCCUCUCCCCCAGCUCCCAGCAGCCCUUUCCUGCCCAGAAAAGGAAGUCAGGAGCAG
This is a non-coding RNA of Orycteropus afer afer, 451 nucleotides long. Lineage: Eukaryota; Metazoa; Chordata; Mammalia; Tubulidentata; Orycteropodidae. The record is from the annotation of a RefSeq genome assembly.